Molecule: long non-coding RNA, 168 nt
Organism: Sphaeramia orbicularis (orbiculate cardinalfish)
Lineage: Eukaryota; Metazoa; Chordata; Actinopteri; Kurtiformes; Apogonidae
Exons: 3
Source: RefSeq, a predicted model, not a curated record
AACCUCAAUAGAAAAAGAACAUAGUGGAUUGCCAUGUCUCUACAGUUUGCUCCAGUGUUGUUAUCAAUAAGAUCAUCCUUAUCCUGUCGCUGUAUAAACAGACCAUUUCUCCCACUUUUCUCGACAUUGUUCUUGAGUCCUUAUCUUAUGGUACAUUACAUUAGUAUU